Molecule: long non-coding RNA, 482 nt
Filed under: Lathyrus oleraceus (garden pea)
Lineage: Eukaryota; Viridiplantae; Streptophyta; Magnoliopsida; Fabales; Fabaceae
Description: Pisum sativum (pea) long non-coding RNA (PSAT_LNC039542)
Source: RNAcentral
AUCAUUGUAAACUAAUUUUCUAUUGUCACAAAAUCCUUCACAAAUCCGUAGGAUGGAAUUUUUUUUCCAUAUAUAAAUGUGUCUAAGAUAUCUUUUACAUUGUGUGAAAUACAUUCAGAUAUAAUAUCUACUAUGUGGAGUAAUAAGUUCUACCAUCAUCUCAUGUUUUUCAUCAAUCAAGUUCACCAAAGAGGAACGCAUUCAGAUAGCAACCAAGGUUCUAAGAUCUCAUAUUGAGGCUCCUCAUAUGAUAGAAUUGGAUUUUGAAGAUAUUGGUCAGAAUGUAUUUCCUGUGGAAGUUGAUAAUCCAUAUCUAUAUUGUAUGGAUAGUAUUGUGGAAUUGGAGGAAGAUCUUGAUCAAAAAACAUAUUAGAUGAUAGAUCUGGAUUUUGAAGAUAUUGGUCAGAAAACAUUUCUUGUGGAAGUUGAUAAUCCAUGUCUAGAUUGUAUGGAGGAAGAUCUUGAUCAAAAAACAUAUUANN